This 1719-nucleotide ribosomal RNA is filed under the name Rotylenchulus reniformis. RNAcentral's name for it is "SSU rRNA". It matches the Rfam family "Eukaryotic small subunit ribosomal RNA". The record is from RNAcentral. Lineage: Eukaryota; Metazoa; Nematoda; Chromadorea; Rhabditida; Hoplolaimidae.
GAACUGCGAACGGCUCAUUACACCAGCCUUAAUUUACUUGACCUUGACACCCUACUUGGAUAACUGUGGUAAUUCUAGAGCUAAUACAUGCACCAAAGCUCCAAUCUCCCCAGAGCGGAGCGCAUUUGUUCGCCACAAAACCAAGCGCCUCAGGGCGUUCAGUGUUGACUCAGAACAACUAAGCUGAUCGCACGGUCUUGCACCGGCGACGUGUCUUUCAAGUGUCUGCCUUAUCAACUUUCGAUGGUAGUGUAUCUGACUACCAUGGUGAUGACGGGUAACGGAGGAUAAGGGUUCGACUCCGGAGAAGGGGCCUGAGAAAUGGCCACUACGUCUAAGGAUGGCAGCAGGCGCGCAAAUUACCCACUCUCGACGCGAGGAGGUAGUGACGAGAAAUAACGAGACCGUUCUCAUCUGAGGCCGGUCAUCGGAAUGGGUACAAUUUAAACCCUUUAACGAGUAUCUAUGAGAGGGCAAGUCUGGUGCCAGCAGCCGCGGUAAUUCCAGCUCUCAAAAUGCAUAGAAUUAUUGCUGCGGUUAAAAAGCUCGUAGUUGGAUCUGUGCUGAGCGACCGGUCUGCCCACUGGGCACGCACUGGCUCGCCCGGCUUUCCCUGCCGGUCUCUCUCUGACGUUGGUUUUAACCGGCUGGCGUCAGUGGGCUGGCGAGUUUACUUUGAACAAAUCAGAGUGCUUCAAACAGGCGUCUCGCCUGAAUGUUCGUGCAUGGAAUAAUAGAAGAGGAUCACGGUCCGAUUUUAUUGGUUUUGCUGACCGAGAUAAUGGUUAACAGAGACAAACGGGGCCAUUCGUAUUGCUACGUGAGAGGUGAAAUUCUUGGACCGUAGCAAGACGGACUACAGCGAAAGCAUUUGGCAAGAAUGUCUUCAUUAAUCAAGAACGAAAGUCAGAGGUUCGAAGGCGAUCAGAUACCGCCCUAGUUCUGACCGUAAACGAUGCCAACUAGCGAUCCGCCGGCGGAUUCAUUCGCCCUGGUGGGGAGCUUCCCGGAAACGAAAGUCUUCCGGUUCCGGGGGAAGUAUGGUUGCAAAGCUGAAACUUAAAGGAAUUGACGGAAGGGCACCACCAGGAGUGGAGCCUGCGGCUUAAUUUGACUCAACACGGGGAAACUCACCCGGCCCGGACACCGUAAGGAUUGACAGAUUGAUAGCUUUUUCAUGAUUCGGUGGAUGGUGGUGCAUGGCCGUUCUUAGUUCGUGGAGCGAUUUGUCUGGUUUAUUCCGAUAACGAGCGAGACUCUGGCCCACUAAAUAGUUGGCGCAUUGCCACUGUGUGCACAACUUCUUAGAGGGAUUUUCGGUGUUCAGCCGCACGAAAUUGAGCAAUAACAGGUCUGUGAUGCCCUUAGAUGUCCGGGGCUGCACGCGCGCUACACUGGCAAAAUCAGCGUGCUUGUCCUCCCCCGAAAGGGGUUGGUAAACCGAUGAAAAUUUGCCGUGAUUGGGAUCGGACAUUGCAAUUAUUGUCCGUGAGCGAGGAAUCCCUUGUAAGGGCGAGUCAUCAACUCGUCCUGAAUACGUCCCUGCCCUUUGUACACACCGCCCGUCGCUGCCCGGGACUGAGCCAUUUCGAGAAAACCGGGGAUUGUUGGCCUGACGGCUCUCGGGUCGUCUAGCCGAUGAGAACCGGCUUAAUCGCACUGGUUUGAACCGGGCAAAAGUCGUAACAAGGUAGCUGUAGGUGAACCUGCAGAUGAUCA